Molecule: ribosomal RNA, 253 nt
Filed under: uncultured bacterium
Lineage: Bacteria
Description: partial 16S ribosomal RNA
Rfam family: Bacterial small subunit ribosomal RNA
Source: RNAcentral
UACGUAGGGGGCUAGCGUUGUCCGGAAUCAUUGGGCGUAAAGAGCGUGUAGGCGGUCCGGUAAGUCCGCUGUGAAAGUCGGGGGCUCAACCCUCGAAUGCCGGUGGAUACUGUCGGGCUAGAGUGCGGAAGAGGCGAGUGGAAUCCUGGUGUAGCGGUGAAAUGCGCAGAUAUCAGGAGGAACACCUAUUGCGAAGGCAGCUCGCUGGGACGUAACUGACGCUGAGACGCGAAAGCCGUGGGGAGCAAACAGG